AUAAAAUUAAGGAAGAGUAAAAUGUGCCUCCCACAUGCACAUGUGAGGGACAGGAUUUUUCCAUGUGUAUCAAGUUCAUCCAAGAACUACAAUGAAAGGAAUGUAACUUCCUGUUAAUAAGGCCAGAAACUUUUGACAGGGAGCCUUUAUAAAUAAUCCAGUGCAGAGACUCCUACCUUCAGUUUGCGUGGGUACAUCUGUGUACCAAGAGGGCGCAUAACAAUGAGGAGACAUUUCUUCUCAGAAAGAGUGAUCAGGCAUUGGAAUAGGUUGCCCAAGGAAGUGGUGGAGUCACCGUCCCUGGGGGCGUUCAAAGGAAAGGUUGGACCUGGUGCUUAGGAACGUGGUUUAGUGGGUGACAUUGGCAGUGGGGUGAUGGUUGGACCAGAUCAUAUUGAAGGUCUUUUCCAACCUUAAUUUUUCUAUGAUUCUAUGCAGAAGGAAGAGGAUUCCUGGCCUGUCCUCACCCCAGGCUAGGGGCCCAGCCAGCGUAGGGUCUCCCACCUGGCCAGCAGCAAGGCCUGUGUGGAGGUGGUUGCCAUCUUGGCCCAGCCCAUGCCUAUAAGCAAUCAGCCACAGUCCAGGCAGCUGAUUGCUUACCAAUCAACCACCAGGUGCAGGUCUCAGGUCUCAGACCCUGAUCUAGAACCUUCUUUGCACACCCUUUCAGAGGAACUUGGGUACUGUUAGUGGUGGACGUGCCCCAGCUGUAGUGAAAGCUACUUCCACAGCUGAAGUGGUCACUGAAAUGGCAGAAAAGCAACCUGAGAGAAGGCUGUCUGGUGUUUGCUCUGUUUUAAGUGGGAAAAAGUGGAUUGAUCUCCAGAGGAAACAUGAAGAACCAAACAUCCAAUUGCAUGUUUGCAGGGGCCCAGCAAAGUCCAAAAUCAUAGAGAACUGGAAAAAUGUGUAUAAUGAUUGGAGCUACCCUGCUAGGACGGCUUCAGUGUGUACAGACUCCAGCCUUCAUAGCCAACUCCACUUGGUUACUGCUGAAGAAUCUGGCCCUACCAACACUCUGUUACUUGCAGCAGGAAAGAAAAUAUCCUGAAAGGUGCCCCAGGAUAAGGGAAUGGGAGAGUAAGUGUAAAUAAAGCAGGAGGCUGGGCAGACCA
RNAcentral lists this long non-coding RNA (1115 nucleotides) under Anas platyrhynchos platyrhynchos (common mallard). RNAcentral describes it as "lncRNA (ENSAPLG00000027584.1)". The record is from RNAcentral. Lineage: Eukaryota; Metazoa; Chordata; Aves; Anseriformes; Anatidae.